UAGGGAAUCUUCCGCAAUGGGCGAAAGCCUGACGGAGCAAUGCCGCGUGAGUGAAGAAGGCCUUCGGGUCGUAAAACUCUGUUAUAAGAGAAGAACAAAUUGUAGAGUAACUGCUACAGUCUUGACGGUAUCUUAUCAGAAAGCCACGGCUAACUACGUGCCAGCAGCCGCGGUAAUACGUAGGUGGCAAGCGUUGUCCGGAUUUAUUGGGCGUAAAGGGAGCGCAGGUGGUUUCUUAAGUCUGAUGUGAAAGCCCACGGCUUAACCGUGGAGGGUCAUUGGAAACUGGGAAACUUGAGUACAGAAGAGGAAUGUGGAACUCCAUGUGUAGCGGUGGAAUGCGUAGAUAUAUGGAAGAACACCAGUGGCGAAGGCGACAUUCUGGUCUGUUACUGACACUGAGGCGCGAAAGCGUGGGGAGCAAACAGG
Molecule: ribosomal RNA, 429 nt
Filed under: Acidobacteriota bacterium
Lineage: Bacteria; Pseudomonadati; Acidobacteriota
Description: Acidobacteria bacterium partial 16S ribosomal RNA
Rfam family: Bacterial small subunit ribosomal RNA
Source: RNAcentral